CCUACGGGAGGCAGCAGUGAGGAAUAUUGGUCAAUGGCCGAAAGGCUGAACCAGCCAAGUCGCGUGAAGGAAGAAGGACCUAUGGUUUGUAAACUUCUUUUAUAGGGGAAUAAAGGUAUCCACGUGUGGAUAUUUGCAUGUACCCUAUGAAUAAGCAUCGGCUAACUCCGUGCCAGCAGCCGCGGUAAUACGGAGGAUGCGAGCGUUAUCCGGAUUUAUUGGGUUUAAAGGGUGCGUAGGUUGUUGUUUAAGUCAGCGGUGAAAGUUUGGGGCUCAACCAUAGAAUUGCCGUGGAAACUGGAAAACUUGAGUGGGCGAGAGGAAAGCGGAAUGCGAGGUGUAGCGGUGAAAUGCAUAGAGAUAACGCAGAACUCCGAUUGCGAAGGCAGCUUACUGGUCCAUAACUGACGCUGAGGCACGAAAGCGUGGGGAUCAAACAGGAUUAGAUACCCCUGUAGUC
RNAcentral lists this ribosomal RNA (460 nucleotides) under uncultured bacterium. RNAcentral describes it as "partial 16S ribosomal RNA". It matches the Rfam family "Bacterial small subunit ribosomal RNA", at positions 338 to 795 of the family's 1533-position model. The record is from RNAcentral.